GCCUACUUUUUAUGUCCAUUCCUACGGCUGCAGGGCCAUGUCCUGUGAUUGGCAGCUCCUCAGAACCACAUGGAGUGGAAGAGCUGUUCCUAGAAAUAGGGUGCUUGUUAUUCUGAGAGGACAAGAAUGACAGCCACGUCAUCUGGAGAAGGCAGCCAGGGAAGUUGUUGGCCAAGCUUUGCUGGCUUUUUUGCAGCUUUCUGUUCCCGCAAGUUACUCCCCCAAAUCCUACCUAUUUUAAAAGCAACUCUCACAGGAAGAAAGGCUUGGUAGCCAACAGAUGACCACCACAUUCUCUCCCCCAAGACGUCUGAUUUCAGAAGGCAAAAAUUCAAGAAUGAAUAUUUACUGCCUAUAUCUGACAGAAGAAUCCCAUUUCUCAUGAGAAAAUCAAUGGAUAAUACUCAGCGUUUCUUCAAAACCAAAACUUCCUUUAUCAAAACCUGUAGAACACAGGUUUCAGCAAACUUCGUAAAAUAUUCAGAUCAAAUUUGGGUUUGUUAUUGAUUUUCAGGGGGAUUAAUCUCUUUUAUAUUAAAAGCUCAUUUGGUCACAA
Molecule: long non-coding RNA, 556 nt
Filed under: Homo sapiens (human)
Lineage: Eukaryota; Metazoa; Chordata; Mammalia; Primates; Hominidae
Description: long intergenic non-protein coding RNA 2040
Source: RNAcentral